This 763-nucleotide long non-coding RNA is filed under the name Cottoperca gobio. Its description in RNAcentral is "lncRNA (ENSCGOG00000006187.1)". Lineage: Eukaryota; Metazoa; Chordata; Actinopteri; Perciformes; Bovichtidae. The record is from RNAcentral.
CAGCUUCUGAACAAGUAAGAUCUUAAGAACUUAGAGGCGGACAUCUCACAUCAAAGAACAUCACGAUGAACAGAUAUCUGUGGAGCUGUGCAGCAUUAUUGACUCUGUUUGUUACAGUUGAGUCCCUUUCCUGCUACACCUGUGAUGAGGGGAUCCUCGGCUACUGCCUCGUCCAGGAGGCUGUAAAUUGCACCAAAACUCAGGACAAAUGCUACGUUGCAGUUGCCAAGUUUUCUUCGGACCUGCUCGAUAUCCAUGAACGAGGCUGCACAAACAGCUCCGGCUGUGAUAACAGUCGUGGGAGCAUUCUGAAUGUGAACUACACCAUCAGCAGGACCUGCUGCAACAGCACCCUCUGUAACACAGCGGCCGGUCCAGAGCUGCCGCUCACUGCAGCUCUGGCUGCUUCUCUGCUGGCAGUUUGGAGCCAGUGGGGCCUUUAAAGACGACUAUAGCCGGAAGAAAAAGCGUUGCUGCACAUUUUAAUUGAAAAAUUCCAUCUUUUUUGUUCUGUAAUUUCUGUGUCCACAGGAUAUAUCAUGGAGGGAUACUGGCUGCAUAACUCUUCACAGCAUCCUGUGAGGAUACAGUUGUUACUGUAAUAUACAUUAGUAUCUCUUCACUGUAUCAGGACUUAAUUUCUAUCUAUGUAUUUCUCAUUUUUAACACCUCAUUAAUGUCAUUUUAAAACCUUUACCUGCAUGAUACCCCUGUACUGGCUAGACUUUGUUUAAUUUAUUAUAUGCUAAAGGCAACUCAAUCC